CCCCAUGAAGUUGAGCAGAUGGCUCUGUUAGAUAUAAAAACCAUGCUACAAUCGAUGGGGAAGGACAUAUCGUCAUUCCCUCUUCCAGAAAUUGAUGACUCAUAUGAUGCCCCAGAUAAUGAGGCUAGGGAGAUCAUAGAGGAGUCCACGAUCGAGGUGGACCCAGAACACAUUGGCUUGUCAUCUUUUCUAAACCCAGAACAGAGAUAUGCAUAUGAUGAGAUACUUGCGACAAUUAAUAGUGGCCAGGGAGGUGUGUUCUUUGUCGAUGGACCAGGAGGCACAGGAAAAACAUAUCUGUACAAAGCUCUACUUGCAAAAGUACGUGGUGAGGGUCAGAUAGCUGUUGCAAUAGCGACGUCGGGUGUUGCUUCAUCCAUCUUGGCUGGAGGGAGGACUGCACACUCGAGGUUUAAAAUACCACUAAACAUUGAAGACGGUGGGGUUUGUAGUUUCACCAAGCAAAGUGGGAUAGCUAAGCUUCUUAUGAGGGCGUCCCUCAUAAUUUGGGAUGAGGCUUCCAUGACAAAGCGCCAGGCAGUCGAGGCCCUGGACAAUAGCAUGAGGGACAUCAUGGGUCAACCUGACCUGCCGUUUGGUGGAAAGACGGUUGUCUUUGGGGGAGACUUUAGACAAGUGCUUCCUGUUGUUCGUAAGGGAACAAGGUCACAGAUAACUGAUGCGACCCUACGUAAGUCUUAUCUUUGGAAUAGUAUGAGACAACUAAGACUGGUCCGUAAUAUGAGGGCUCAGGUUGAUCCAUGGUUUGCUGAUUAUCUUCUAUGUGUUGGGAAUGGCACCGAAGAUACGGUGGAUGAUGGUUACAUACGACUUCCAGAUGAGAUUUGCAUACCAAACACUGGUGAUGAUGCCUCUGAUAUUGACAAGCUUAUUGAAAGUGUGUUCCCGAUGCUGCAAGAUGAAAACAUCUUAGAUCCAAACUACAUAACAUCUCGAGCAAUUUUGUCAACUCGGAACGAGUACAUUGACAAGAUCAACAUGAGGAUGAUUGAGAGAUUUCCUGGGGAGGAGAUGGUAUACCACAGUUUUGAUCGGGCUGAGGAUGAUCCAUACAACUACUAUCCUGCAGAAUUCUUAAAUUCAUUAACACCUAACGGGCUACCUCCCCACAUCCUAAAGUUGAAGAUUAAUUUCCCUAUUAUAUUGUUACGGAACAUUGACCCAGCAAAUGUGUUGUGCAAUGGGACUAGGUUGGUUGUCCGGGGAUUCAUGAGGAAUGCAAUUAAUGCUGAGAUUGUGCUGGGCCAGCAUGCUGGUAAGAGGGUGUUCCUUCCUCGAAUUCCACUCUGCCCGUCAGACGACGAGAUGUUUCCAUUUAGGUUCAAGAGGAAGCAAUUCCCCGUUAGAAUUAGCUUCGCUAUGACCAUUAACAAGGCACAAGCACAAACUAUACCAAAUGUUGGUGUAUACCUCCCUGAACCUGUAUUUUCACAUGGCCAACUCUAUGUUGCUCUUUCUAGAGCUACGUCUAGAAGUAAUCUGAAGAUUCUUACUGUCCCGGGUAAGGAAGAGGAAGGCCGGUCCAACUCCAUUGCAAAAUUUACAAAGAACAUAGUCUACAAAGAA
RNAcentral lists this ribosomal RNA (1587 nucleotides) under Triticum aestivum (bread wheat). RNAcentral's name for it is "partial small subunit ribosomal RNA". The record is from RNAcentral. Lineage: Eukaryota; Viridiplantae; Streptophyta; Magnoliopsida; Poales; Poaceae.